Long non-coding RNA from Macadamia integrifolia, 1569 nucleotides. RefSeq lists it as uncharacterized. The transcript is spliced from 6 exons. The record is from RefSeq and is a predicted model, not a curated record. Lineage: Eukaryota; Viridiplantae; Streptophyta; Magnoliopsida; Proteales; Proteaceae.
ACAUAUUGUUGUCCCAAAAAUUUGGGAAGGUAUAUUUUCCUAUCUAUUUCCAGAAUAAAUUUAAUAUAUGAGACGAUUUUUUUCUGUCUCUUAUUAAAUAUAUUUGAGACAGAAUUUCUACCGUCCGAAAAAUUGGGAUUUCAAACACACAUCCUUGUUUUUAUGUUGUCCGAUUUAAAAAUAGAAGUCGGCAACUAAUUUUAUUAUUUUAAAUCCUGUUGCGCGCACGGGAACUAGAAAUAAGUUUGGGGAUUUCAAAAAGAGCAGAGAACGAGCAUAUAUUGAGUGAGAAGUGUGGAGUGAGGAGUGAGGAGUGAGGACCUUUGUUAGUUUCAGCCCAUUCCCAAAUCACAAUCCUUCAUUUCAAACUUCAACCCUAACUUGCCAAACCAUUCUCUUACUUCCUCUCUUCUUCUCUCCCAAUGACGGACGACUGACGGCUGGUCAUCGGAGCUUUGUUAUCGGUUUCUCAUGAACACGGUGCUGAAGAUAGAGGAUCUGAUCGAGUGAGGAGUGAGGAUCUGCUGAAUUUUAGGAAAAGGAUUCCUUAUACUUUGUUGUUCUUAGCCCAUCCAACUACGUCAGUCACCGCUGCAAGUCCCAGGCGACAAUCAACAAUGUGCGCUGCAGUGCUGCUGAUGCUUGGAUUGAAGACCUGGCAUAUAUUCCUGCUAUUGAUUUAGUUAAACACAAUCAUUGUUGCUGCUGCUCUGAAAGAGAAGAUGCUACUGUUGCUCAAAGUUAUUAUAGCACAGAACAUUUACCGACGUCCAUAAUAGGUAAGAGUAAACCCCCCCUCCCCCCUUUUAUUUCUUUUUCUUUGUUGCCUUCAACACCAAACGAUUUCUCAAAGUCCAGUGGGUGCCAGGGAAUAGUAGUUUAGAAAUGUAUUAGUUGGGCUUCAUUGAUAACAAAAGAGUAGUAGUUUCCUAUGCUUCGAUAGCUAGCUGGGUUUUUUAUCAGCUAUGGAUCUUCAAAGUAUCUACUACGCUUGGCUACUAGUUUCUCUCUUUCAAAUUACAUCUAUAGCAGCUGUGACAAAUUCUGAGGAUGGUAAGGUCUUGUUCCACUGGUUAAUUUCAUCUUAAUAAAGACAUCAGAUUAGUUCCAAUAUCUUUAAUUUCCUGAUGCAGGUGAUGCUCUGUCUACCCUCAACUUUGAUUGGCAGAAUAUACCAACUAAUUGGGUGUGUUCAGAUCCUUGUGGGGAUGGUUGGGAUGGGAUUAAGUGUUCUAGUUCUCGAGUGUUCUCCAUAACAAUAUUAAGCAGUGGUAUGAAAGGUCAGUUUUCAGGAAACAUACAAUUCCUCUCUGAGUUGCAGACACUCAGGAAGAGUCUUAUGGGGCAUAGUACUUGGUUCAUCCAAUAGGGCAGGCUUACAAAAAUGUUGUAGGUAGUCAUUUGGAGCCAGUGUUGAUGCUAAUGAAUACGACAAUGACAGUAUAAAGAUGCGAAGUCAUCCAGUAGGUCCUUUCGAAAGGCAAAGUCGUGAAGAACUAAAGAAGUCCAUAAUGGAGCUUAUAGUUCUAGUUUCAAACCAAAUUACACAUCAGCGUAGGUAAGAGCAAC